AGUAAAAGUCGUAACAAGGUUUCCGUAGGUGAACCUGCGGAAGGAUCAUUAUCGAGUUUUGACUGGGUUGUAGCUGGCCUUCCGAGGCAUGUGCACGCCCUGCUCAUCCACCCUACACCUGUGCACUUACUGUGGGUUUCAGAUGUUAUUAGCGGGGCCUUUACGGGUCUCGUGAAAGCGUCUGUGCCUGCGUUUAUUACAAACUCUUACAAGUAACAGAAUGUGUAUUGCGAUGUAACGCAUUUGAAUACAACUUUCAGCAACGGAUCUCUUGGCUCUCGCAUCGAUGAAGAACGCAGCGAAAUGCGAUAAGUAAUGUGAAUUGCAGAAUUCAGUGAAUCAUCGAAUCUUUGAACGCACCUUGCGCUCCUUGGUAUUCCGAGGAGCAUGCCUGUUUGAGUGUCAUGAAAUCUUCAACCUAUAAGCCUUUGCGGGUUUAUUAGGCUUGGACUUGGAGGCUUGUCGGCCUAGCGGUCGGCUCCUCUUAAAUGCAUUAGCUUGAUUCCUUGCGGAUCGGCUCUCGGUGUGAUAAUUGUCUACGCCGCGACCGUGAAGCGUUUGGCGAGCUUCUAAUCGUCUCUUAUGAGACAAUUCAUUGACCUCUGACCUCAAAUCAGGCAGGACUACCCGCUGAACUUAAGCAUAUCAAUAAGCGGAGGAAAAGAAACUAAACAGGAUUCCCCUAGUAACUGCGAGUGAAGCGGGAAAAGCUCAAAUUU
RNAcentral lists this ribosomal RNA (719 nucleotides) under uncultured fungus. RNAcentral's name for it is "eukaryotic LSU rRNA". The stretch from base 252 to 405 matches the Rfam family "5.8S ribosomal RNA". The record is from RNAcentral. Lineage: Eukaryota; Fungi.